Molecule: ribosomal RNA, 253 nt
Filed under: uncultured bacterium
Lineage: Bacteria
Description: partial 16S ribosomal RNA
Rfam family: Bacterial small subunit ribosomal RNA
Source: RNAcentral
UACGUAGGGGGCAAGCGUUGUCCGGAUUUAUUGGGCGUAAAGAGCGUGUACGCGGCUUUACAGGUCCGUUGUGAAAACUCGAGGCUCAACCUCGAGACGCCGGUGGAAACCGUAAAGCUAGAGUCCGGAAGAGGAGAGUGGAAUUCCUGGUGUAGCGGUGAAAUGCGCAGAUAUCAGGAGGAACACCCGUGGCGAAAGCGGCUCUCUGGGACGGUACUGACGCUGAGACGCGAAAGCGUGGGGAGCAAACAGG